Molecule: long non-coding RNA, 590 nt
Filed under: Prunus dulcis (almond)
Lineage: Eukaryota; Viridiplantae; Streptophyta; Magnoliopsida; Rosales; Rosaceae
Description: sRNA ncRNA
Source: RNAcentral
AGCAAAAUCGACUGUUAGGCUGAAGUGGUGGCGGAUAAAGCUUUGGUUCAUGAUCAUUGACAUCCAUGUCUUGCACACUGCAGUGCAAUUGAUCAAAGAUUUAACGGGUAGCCUACAUAGGAUGUCUUGUAUUAUUUCCUGAGGAAAAGCUUCAAAUUUGAAUUCGUGUAUCCUUUAUGUGAUAUCUUGCAUGUUAUCCAUGUCUUGCAUAUUCAAAUAGUUAACCAACUGAGAAAGAAAAGCAAUAUAUGUUGGAAUGUAAUCCUGCAGCUGCUUUCUUGAUGCCGAAGUCACCAAGCUCUAUUUCUAUCAUUUUAUGUUUAUUUUAUUUGUGAUGUAAUUAGAACCAUUGGAUCAUAGUCCAUGUUGAUUCUCCAGCUUAGAUUUGGGAUGACAAGUGUAAACACCUCAUAUGGUGACAGCUGUAAUUCGGUUAGAGAAGAAUCUCUCUUCUCUCUCCUCUAUCGAGUACACUAUGUAAGCCAACUGUUUGUGAAAAUGCAAUAGAACAGUCCCUUCUCACUUUCUCUUAUUCUCUGCAAAAUCUCCAUUUCUCUAAAAUAUACAAAACAACCAUAGAAUUCUAACAU